RNAcentral lists this non-coding RNA (22 nucleotides) under Rattus norvegicus (Norway rat). Lineage: Eukaryota; Metazoa; Chordata; Mammalia; Rodentia; Muridae. The record is from RNAcentral.
CUGGUUACAGAGCCGUAAACAU